CAGAGGGUAGUUUAAUUUAAAAUUUUAGCUUUGGGAGCUAAAGAUAGGAGUUAAAAUCUCUUCUCUUUGA
Molecule: transfer RNA, 70 nt
Filed under: Dallia pectoralis (Alaska blackfish)
Lineage: Eukaryota; Metazoa; Chordata; Actinopteri; Esociformes; Umbridae
Description: tRNA-Pro
Rfam family: tRNA
About the family: Transfer RNA (tRNA) molecules are approximately 80 nucleotides in length. Their secondary structure includes four short double-helical elements and three loops (D, anti-codon, and T loops).
Source: RNAcentral